This 497-nucleotide ribosomal RNA is filed under the name uncultured bacterium. RNAcentral's name for it is "partial 16S ribosomal RNA". It matches the Rfam family "Bacterial small subunit ribosomal RNA", at positions 28 to 507 of the family's 1533-position model. The record is from RNAcentral.
GAUGAACGCUGGCGGCGUGCCUAAUACAUGCAAGUCGAGCGAACAGACGAGGAGCUGUCUCCUCUGACGGUAGCGGCGGGCGUGUGAGUAACACGUGGAUAACCUACCUGUAAGAAUGGGAUAGCUUCGGUAAACCGGAGCGAAUACCGUAUAAUAUAUUGAACCGCGUGGUGCAAUAGUGAAAGACGGUUUUGCUGUCACUGAUAGAUGGAGCCGCGCCACAUUAGCUAGUUGGUAAGGUAACGGCUUACCAAGGCAACGAUGCGUAGCCGACCUGAGAGGGUGAUCGGCCACACUGGAACUGAGACACGGUCCAGACUCCUACGGGAGGCAGCAGUAGGGAAUCUUCCGCAAUGGGCGCAAGCUUGACGGAGCAACGCCGCGUGAGUGAUGAAGGUCUUCGGAUCGUAAAACUCUGUUAUUCGGGACGAACAAAUGUGUAAGUAACUAUGCACGUAUUGACGGUACCUAAUCAGAAAGCCACGGCUAACUACGUG